CAGCAGCCGCGGGAAAACGUAGGGUGCGAGCGUUAAUCGGAAUUACUGGGCGUAAAGCGUGCGCAGGCGGUUAUAUAAGACAGAUGUGAAAUCCCCGGGCUCAACCUGGGACCUGCAUUUGUGACUGUAUAGCUAGAGUACGGUAGAGGGGGAUGGAAUUCCGCGUGUAGCAGUGAAAUGCGUAGAUAUGCGGAGGAACACCGAUGGCGAAGGCAAUCCCCUGGACCUGUACUGACGCUCAUGCACGAAAGCGUGGGGAGCAAACAGGAUUAGAUACCCGGGUAGUCCCUGUCUCUUAUAC
RNAcentral lists this ribosomal RNA (301 nucleotides) under uncultured bacterium. Its description in RNAcentral is "partial 16S ribosomal RNA". It matches the Rfam family "Bacterial small subunit ribosomal RNA", at positions 509 to 807 of the family's 1533-position model. The record is from RNAcentral.